This 244-nucleotide ribosomal RNA is filed under the name uncultured bacterium. Its description in RNAcentral is "partial 16S ribosomal RNA". It matches the Rfam family "Bacterial small subunit ribosomal RNA", at positions 15 to 252 of the family's 1533-position model. The record is from RNAcentral.
GAUCCUGGCUCAGGACGAACGCUGGCGGCGCGCCUAACACAUGCAAGUCGAACGGAGCUGAGAGAAGCUUGCUUUUCUCAGCUUAGUGGCGAACGGGUGAGUAACGCGUGAGUAACCUGCCCUGGAGUGGGGGACAACAGUUGGAAACAACUGCUAAUACCGCAUAAGCCCACGAUCCGGCAUCGGAUUGAGGGAAAAGGAUUUAUUCGCUUCAGGAUGGACUCGCGUCCAAUUAGCUAGUUGG